UCCCUGGUGGCUCAGAUGGUAAAGAAUCUGCCUGCAAUGCAGGAGACCCAGGUUUGAUCUCUGGGUAGGGAA
Molecule: transfer RNA, 72 nt
Filed under: Ovis aries (sheep)
Lineage: Eukaryota; Metazoa; Chordata; Mammalia; Artiodactyla; Bovidae
Rfam family: tRNA
About the family: Transfer RNA (tRNA) molecules are approximately 80 nucleotides in length. Their secondary structure includes four short double-helical elements and three loops (D, anti-codon, and T loops). Further hydrogen bonds mediate the characteristic L-shaped molecular structure. tRNAs have two regions of fundamental functional importance: the anti-codon, which is responsible for specific mRNA codon recognition, and the 3' end, to which the tRNAs corresponding amino acid is attached (by aminoacyl-tRNA synthetases). tRNAs cope with the degeneracy of the genetic code in two manners: having more than one tRNA (with a specific anti-codon) for a particular amino acid; and 'wobble' base-pairing, i.e. permitting non-standard base-pairing at the 3rd anti-codon position.
Source: Rfam by way of RNAcentral